Molecule: ribosomal RNA, 429 nt
Filed under: Gemmatimonadota bacterium
Lineage: Bacteria; Pseudomonadati; Gemmatimonadota
Description: Gemmatimonadetes bacterium partial 16S ribosomal RNA
Rfam family: Bacterial small subunit ribosomal RNA
Source: RNAcentral
UAGGGAAUCUUCGGCAAUGGACGAAAGUCUGACCGAGCAACGCCGCGUGAGUGAAGAAGGUUUUCGGAUCGUAAAACUCUGUUGUUAGAGAAGAACAAGGACGUUAGUAACUGAACGUCCCCUGACGGUAUCUAACCAGAAAGCCACGGCUAACUACGUGCCAGCAGCCGCGGUAAUACGUAGGUGGCAAGCGUUGUCCGGAUUUAUUGGGCGUAAAGCGAGCGCAGGCGGUUUCUUAAGUCUGAUGUGAAAGCCCCCGGCUCAACCGGGGAGGGUAAUUGGAAACUGGGAGACUUGAGUGCAGAAGAGGAGAGUGGAAUUCCAUGUGUAGCGGUGAAAUGCGUAGAUAUAUGGAGGAACACCAGUGGCGAAGGCGGCUCGCUGGUCUGUAACUGACGCUGAGGCUCGAAAGCGGGGGGAGCAAACAGG